Molecule: long non-coding RNA, 100 nt
Organism: Sapajus apella (tufted capuchin)
Lineage: Eukaryota; Metazoa; Chordata; Mammalia; Primates; Cebidae
Exons: 3
Source: RefSeq, a predicted model, not a curated record
AGGGAAGAUCUUGAUGUGUUGAUAAUUUGUAAAACUUUUAUACCUGGUUCUUUGAACUUUAAAGAAUGUCGUGCUAAUUUUCUCAGGUACUAGAGAUUCU